Molecule: ribosomal RNA, 442 nt
Filed under: uncultured bacterium
Lineage: Bacteria
Description: partial 16S ribosomal RNA
Rfam family: Bacterial small subunit ribosomal RNA
Source: RNAcentral
CCUACGGGUGGCAGCAGUGGGGAAUAUUGGGCAAUGGGCGCAAGCCUGACCCAGCAACGCCGCGUGAAGGAAGAAGGCUCUCUGGUUGUAAACUUCCUUUUAUAGGGAAGUGCAGUAGACUGUACCUCUUUACUAAGCCACGGCUAACUACGUGCCAGCAGCCGCGGUAAUACGUAGGUGGCAAGCGUUGUCCGGAUUUACUGGGUGUAAAGGGCGUGUAGCCGGGCUGACAAGUCAGAUGUGAAAUCCCGUGGCUCAACCACGGAACUGCAUUUGAAACUGUCGGUCUUGAGUAUCGGAGAGGCAGGCGGAAUUCCUAGUGUAGCGGUGAAAUGCGUAGAUAUUAGGAAGAACACCAGUGGCGAAGGCGGCUUUCUGGACUGAAACUGACGCUGAGGCUCGAAAGCGUGGGGAGCGAACAGGAUUAGAUACCCCAGUAGUC